CCUACGGGAGGCAGCAGUGAGGAAUAUUGGUCAAUGGGCGCGAGCCUGAACCAGCCAAGUAGCGUGAAGGAUGACUGCCCUACGGGUUGUAAACUUCUUUUGUAAAGGAAUAAAGUGAGGCACGUGUGCCUUUUUGUGUGUACUUUAUGAAUAAGGAUCGGCUAACUCCGUGCCAGCAGCCGCGGUAAUACGGAGGAUCCGAGCGUUAUCCGGAUUUAUUGGGUUUAAAGGGAGCGUAGGUGGGUUGUUAAGUCAGUUGUGAAAGUUUGGGGCUCAACCGUAAAAUUGCAAUUGAUACUGGCAGCCUUGAGUAGAGUUGAGGUAGGCGGAAUGCGUGGUGUAGCGGUGAAAUGCUUAGAUAUCACGAAGAACUCCGAUUGCGAAGGCAGCUUACGAAAUUGCCACUGACAUUGAUGCUCGAAAGUGUGGGUAUCAAACAGGAUUAGAUACCCCAGUAGUC
RNAcentral lists this ribosomal RNA (460 nucleotides) under uncultured bacterium. RNAcentral's name for it is "partial 16S ribosomal RNA". It matches the Rfam family "Bacterial small subunit ribosomal RNA", at positions 338 to 795 of the family's 1533-position model. The record is from RNAcentral.